Molecule: unclassified non-coding RNA, 454 nt
Filed under: Heliconia schumanniana
Lineage: Eukaryota; Viridiplantae; Streptophyta; Magnoliopsida; Zingiberales; Heliconiaceae
Description: partial external transcribed spacer
Source: RNAcentral
UCCUCUCUCGUGGGGUGGGCGACUGGCUCCUAGAUGGAAUGACCGUGUCGGCACGUGAGCGGUGAUGGAUUCGCAUGCCGCGGCGGGCUCCCUGCCACUGUGCAGCCAACCGCCGUCGCUGCAGCCCCCUCACUCGUGCUCCAACUACUCGGUGCCUCUCGCGUUGCCUGUACGACAUACCCGGUUCUCGGGCAAACGACUUCGUCCAACACGCUCGUCCGCUCGCCUCGCCUUUGUGCGGGCGCGGAGCGGCAACGUCGGCGGUCCUCGUGCUCCCUCGGACGACGACACGGCUUUGGCCCCUCGUCUCGUCCCGAUCGGCCCUCGGGGAUUCGCCAGCGCUCGCGGACACGAUAGACAAUGUUGGCUCGGGGCCUUCAUGGCCCCCGCACCACGAUCGGUCGGCUCACUUCGCCGCCCUCGACGAGACGACCGUCGGGCCUGUCGUCCCCCC